RNAcentral lists this long non-coding RNA (15135 nucleotides) under Marmota monax (woodchuck). Lineage: Eukaryota; Metazoa; Chordata; Mammalia; Rodentia; Sciuridae. The record is from RNAcentral.
GUCGCCCGGAAGCUCAUGUGUGAGACAAUGCAAGACAGUUCAGAAGAGAAAUGAUUCGGUUGGUUAUGAGAGCCUGAACCCCAUUAGUGAAUUAAUCUCCUGAUGGGAUUAACUGGGUGGUAACUGAAGGGGGUAGGUUGUGGCUGGAGGAGGAUCAUAGUGGGGAGCAGGGUGUCUUUGGGGUAUAUAUUUUGUAUCUCAUGAAUACACUCUUUCUCUUGUUCUCUCUGCUUUCUGAUCAUCAUGUGAGCUGCUUCCCUUCACCACUCUCUUGGGCCAUGAUGUUCAACCUCACCUGGAGCCCUGAAGAAUGGAACUGUCUGUCUAUGGACUGAGACCUCUGAAACUGUGAGUCUGCAAAUAAACUUUUCCUCAUCCAAAGUUGUUCUUGUCAGGUCUUUUAGUCACAGCAGCAAAAAAAACUGACUAAAACAACAGAAAAUAUACAAUAAAUUACUAUAACUAUUUUGUUGGAAGAAAUCUCUAAACCAUUCCCCCUCCCAUUGCCCUCUACUCCCCCCUUCCCCCACACUCCCUGAAGUCAUAUGAACCAGAAUAAUUAUUUUUCUUUGGACUUUCUCUUUCAAAUAUCCUAAUUUGUAUUUUCAAAUUCAACUUUAAAAUUUAUAUGAUCUUUAAUUUUUUAAAUUCACACACUGCAACUUAGUAAUCCAUUCUCCUUCAGCUUAAUCUAUUCACACCCUUUCUCCACAAUACCUAAGGUUCCAUGAUCAUAUUAAAUUUCUGUGUCAACUGACAUGGCAAUAACAUAAGAUCACUGAUCAGGAACCUUCAAGAAAUAUUUGGUCAAUUCAAAUUGCACCACUACGAUUAUUUCUAAAAAUCAUAUUUUUUUAAACAUUUGAGUUUUAUUUUCAAAAUUUUAGUGGGAGAUCCAAAUUCUGUAAGCACUUAUUGAGCACUUACCUUGUGCAUUUUUAAUUUAUAUUAUAAAUUUUAGUGAAUUCAAUAAGCAUUUAGGAGAUUUCUCAAUAAAAGCUAUUGCAACAUAUUUUAAAAUUAAUCCAUCCUCCAGAUCUAAUAUUAAGACAAUUGUUGUUAAAAACAAUGAAAGUCAUAUUCCAAUCAGAAGCAAAUAUAAGCAAUGAAUAAGAAAUCUUAAUGCAAUGGCCUUCUCAUUCAGAAAUUCUAAAGCCUGAAUAAUCUCUAGGCAAACUGUUACUCUCUGUUCAGAGGUCUUUCAUUUGCCCAGUUCAAAAGCUGUCCUAAAAUCUAUCUAUUACUGGAACAGCAAUCUACAUAAUUUAGUAGAAGGUGCUAAAGACUAUCAUAAACUCUAAAUCCUUUCUGAAAUUAAGCACAGAACCUUAACUCCAUCCCUUAUAUUUUGACCAGAAUAAGUUUAACCGCUCACUCUUAUUUCCAGAGAUCAAAAUUUAAUAAAACUGAAAAAUACUUGAGACUUUAUAUAACACCUUUUACUGAAUGAAGACAAUGUGAAUAGAUGUUCCUCUGUGUCUUGCCACACUCUGGGCCUCCACCUCAGUUUAAAAGGAGAGGUAGAGAGUCUGGUACAACAGAAAGAUUUGUGAAGUCACCCAAAUGCAUGAUCCAGGUUCCAACUGUAACUUUAGUGCUAACUAAAAAGAACCACCUUGAGCCAGUUAGGCAAUCAUUCUAGAACCCAAUUUCUGCCUUUCUAAUAUAAAGGAUUUCAUGUCAAUUUAUCAUUCAGGUCUCCUUCAAAUCCAAGAUUCCAGGAUACACAUUAUUCCUAAAUUGAAGAAGAAUCUGUUCCAACAAGGACUGUAAUCCACUCAGGGUCCUCUGUGUUAACUUGAUAAAAAAAGAUCAGGGAAGCCUAAUCAGGUUAAUUUGAACAACAUUAAGAGGAGUCAUUUUAGGUAUUUAGGAAUUCAUCAUAGUCCUUCUUACUAAUGAAGCCUCUGUACUUAACUCAGUACAAGGGCAAGAACUGUUGGUUUCCCAAAUAAAACUUCUUGUUGGUAACCUGGUAAGCUUUUCUUCUCAUCAAUGAAGAGGCAUAGCAGUAGGGAGUAAUUAAGGGGAUCUCAAAUACAUGUCUACUCUUUACCUGUUCAACAAUCUAGAGUUCAAAUGCAGACCAUUGUGUUUCUUUACAUAUUUUUUUUUUAUUUAUCUGGGAACAUCACUAGAAUGUUUCAAGGCAAAAUGCUGUAUAGCCACUCCCCAUUCUGACUUUAAUUAUAGUCUUUGGAAUUGCCACUGAGUUUGAUCUGUUAAAAAAAAAAAAAAAACAGCACACACUCACACACUCAUAAGCAUACUAUUUUCCCCAAAGCAAAUUCCUCUUAUCUUCUCAAUUUGUCAUGACAAGUUUGUUAAACUAUAGAACUAUACAUUUUAAGGAUAGGAAAACUUACAGAUAUUUCAACACAAUUUUAAUCCUAAUAAAAAUGGCCCACUUCAUUCUCUAUAACAAGACUUUCACUACUUCACAAGGUAAUUCUUUCCCACAGCUAGACAGCUCUAAAUAUUUUGGAAGUUUUCCACUUAUAGCAGUAGAAAGAUCACUUCAUUGCUGUCAGUGCUUUCAGAGCACAACAAAGCCAUCAAAUGUCUCUGCCACAUGCCAGAUCUUGAAGUGCUUGAAGACAGUUGUUGCGUCCCUACUUACGUCCCUAGACCUACUCAAGUUUAUCAAUAAAACCUUUCAACAAUUAGUCAAAUUGCUUCUUUCUAUAGCACCAUCAAACCAUAGACUUACCAACCCUUAAGCUCCAUACUCUUUUUCUCCAAGGAGCAACUCUCAAGAGAGUCUCCAUCAGUGUGGCCUUACAUACUAUGUCAAAUUUUCAGAGAUAUGACAAUAACACAUAACUAUGUCACAUUAUCAGUAAAAUAGGAAUGCCUCAGUUUUAAUUCAGAGGCAGUAUAGAAAACAAGUUAAAAUUAUGGGUCCUGGUGCUAGACUGCCCAGGUUCAAAUCUUGGUUCUAGCAUGUACUUGUGGGACAAAUUAAAAAUAACUUGCUCUUUUGAACCACAGUUUUCUCAUUGUUAAAAUCAAAUCUGUUGGAUUAUCAUAAGGAUCAAGUUAAUUCACACAUGUAGGGUAUUUAGAGUAAUGCCUGCAUACAGUAACUAAUUUUACUUUAACUGUUAUUUUUUAAAAAUCUAUCACAAAGUUCUGAUCAUUCAAAAUGACAGCCUGAUACAGUGGAUAGAGUGCUGAAGAGGAAAUCAGGCAAUGUUGGUUUUAAUCCCAAUUCUGCUAUGGCAUUUCCUAAGGGACAUUACAGUCACUUAUAAAACUAAAUGAAAUUAUCCCAGUAUACCAGGUCUAAUAAAUCUGUCAAAAACCAAUAUAGCAAAAAUUGUUCUUAUCAAGCUAUACACUAUUUCUGCUUUUAUAAGCACAAAGAAUCUACUUAUUAACUUACCUAGAACUACAAAAUUAAUUGAUAUAUAUUUUCAGAAAAAAAAUUCUAUUCCACUUGAAAGCCAUAACAUUGGUCUAUAUACUUUUCCCAAGAAGUUUUUCACAAUAAUGAGAAAAUCAUGAGCAAGUUAGACAUACUUUCAAUAUUUUUCAAAUUCCAGGCUAGGCUUGCAUUUCCAUUUCAGGGGGCAGGAAAAAAAAAAAAAAGAAAAAACAGGGGUUGAGUACUGCUUCCUGGGCCAUGUUGAUUAUUGCUACUACAAUCCAGUGUUAUCACAGUAAAUUUUUGAGGGCUAUGGCCUCAUUAUAUUUUGGUACUCACAGUGCAGACAAGAGCAUGUCCCAUAUGAAAGGUUCUCAAUAAGUUUUCGUGCUAUAAAUGAAUGUCUGUGAUCAUUCUUUGCCUUUCUCAAUAAGCUCUAGCUUUUCUGCCCCUUCUUCUAUCUUUGAUGUUUACCCCUUUAAAUGCUGAGCUUAUCAAAGAGCUCGUGAUGCAGUUACACUUUAUUUAACUCCGUUUCUUUCUCAGCAGGAUUAUUCUCAAUUAUAUAGUCAGAAUUACAAUUUUAGAGCAUCUCAUUUUUUGUAAGCUAUAUUUCUUCUUUAUAAUCUCUGUACAUGGAAUUAUAAAUCAGGCAACAUUCAUGCUUAAUUGGUAUUUUCAGUGUAAUUUUUUGUUUCUUCCUCCAUUCUUUAUAUUUCAGCUUCAAAACAUUUAGGCUCCUAACACUAGAGAAGAUAAAAAUAAUAAUAUAAAUUUGUUCUUUUGUAUCUUUAAAGCUUUCAUAUUUCAGUUCCAAUGCUUUAAGUCCUUAAAUUAAUCUGUAGAAUGGCUUAAAACCUUAAUACUUACUAAACAAUAAAUAAGAAAAUAAAAAUUAUUCUAAAGAACUAAAAUAUUAAACCUAAAAUAUACAUUAGCUUUCAAAAGCAGGCAUAUUAUAACUGAUCCUUUAAAACCACCCUUGGUAAUUUAAAUUAUAAUAAUAUCUAAUCUACAUAGCAAGUUGCAAUAUGAAGUUCUACUCCACCCCUUGCCCUGCUGCUUCUUGACCAAAGAGGAAACACUGUGAGCAGUAAAUUAAUAAAUUCUGACUAGUAUGUAAAAAUGGAAAUCUCCAAGAAGACCUAGAAUCAUUCAAAACACAAUCACACAGCCCAUCAGACAGGGGUGCUAGCACUUGGUAUAUGUGGCUCCAAUGGCCAACCAACAAGCACAGAAUGAAGAAGCAGAAAAAGGCAGUGUAACAGAGGCUUGAGAAACGGGAAGAAAACAGCAAGAGAGAAACAAAGGAUGUUGAAUACAAUUAUUAGUAGACAGAAUAAAAAGAGAGACAGUCUUUGAAGAUAUUGAGAGAUCAAAUCUCUGGGUAGUAGUUCAUGUUCUUAGUGAUUAUCCUAGAUGACUAAUGGAUGUUUAACUCUGACCAAACAUGUUAUCUAACAGUGACAGAAACACAGUUGUCAAAGAAAACAUGAAUCUGUUUUUUACACCCUGCCUCCUGGUUUAGAAAUCUGCAACAGGUAGGUAAGCGUAUAUUCACACAACAGUGUGCUGCUCAAAUCAUCAAAGCUGUUUUCUUUUCAGAAUUCAAGAACUAUUAACACAAUCAUAUAGUGAAUGUACCUCCUUAAAAAUUUUGAAACCUUAUUUAUACAAAGCAUCACCAUUUUCAAAUAUAAAAUAGCAACUCCCAACUUAUUCAUAGAGAGUAGAAAGCAGUUUCAUCAUGUAGAAUAAAAUGCAAUUUUGUGUUUUGAAUUCCUAAAUCAGUUCCUCACAAUCUUCAAUUUUGUUUUAUAUAUCAUUUAUUGAUCACAAACUUUGUUAAUCACAAUUUAGACAAAUCUAAUUUUCAAAUCAGCUUGAAAAAGUUCUAUUUUGUUAAAGCUUGAACACUCCCAUAUUUGCAUAAUCAGGAAAUGUUUUUUAAAAGUGAUAAGAAACUAAAAGGUGGUUUUCUUUUCUCCAGAAAACACAGAGAAUCACUUAUAUCUCAGCCAAAUAUAUUUAGAAUAUUGGCAGCUCAAAUUGGCAUGAUUGACACAACUAAAUAACACCCAAAACAGUCCCAGGGCUAAAGAAAAUUGUUAUCAUAAGCAGUUUUGUGAUCCAUUUCCCUCCCUCUGUAAAACAGGUAAGAGAAUGCUCCAAGAUAUCACACAUAGUCAUUUACAUACAGUAUCAUUUUAUGGAAUUUUCCAAGGUGCUAAUUAAAAGUUUUAAUGAAUGUUAAUCAUCUGUCAAUUUCAUUGGCAAUCUCUGUUCAACCAUAUGCUUCUCUUUUACACCUGUAAGUUUUUUUAAAAAAAAAAAAAAACUAUAACCUUAAUUGUUUUACCUCCUUAGGUGAUAUUUAGAUUAAUAUUUAGGAAACAAAAUUUCAGCAGCUUAUACAGUAAUUUUUUGUGAUUAUCUUAUGCAUUUUCUAACUUUUUAAAGGUAUGAUUAUGUAAGAAUUUGCACAAUCAUCAUACUUCCAAGACAGGUUCUAGAAAUGUUCAUAGCAUUGCAUUCCAAAAUUUAGAAAUAAAAUUCUAUCUUAUUAAAUUACUGUACAACUUUUUCUACUGUAAUUGUUCUUUUGUUCAUUAUAUACAUAUGUGUAAUUACCCAUUCAUUCAAAACAUGUGCAUUAGGCACCUAAGUUUUUGACAAAUUGGAAUGAACAGAACAGCCAAAUAUUUCUUUCCUCAGUAAGCUUACAUUCUAUUUGAGGGAGGCAAGAAAAUUUUAAGAAUAUAUAGAAAACUGAAAUAAGAAUGAAAAGAGAGAAGAAGGGAAGGUUGAGGAGAGUAUAUAUAUUCAUAACGUAGGGUGUCUCAGAGAGUGUGUGUGUGUGUGUGUGUGUGUGUGUGUGUAUGAUCCAAUAGGCAGGAGAACAACAAAUCAUUAAGGUCUUAUUUGCCACUAUAAUAACUUGCUAUUGAUCUAUGAGAGAAAAGGGAUGACCACAGGUUUUGAACAGAGGAGUAAUACAGUCUGUGCACAUUUUAACAUGGUCUCUCUGAACAUUUGUAUCCAAAUUCAUGAAGCUCAGAGUCCCCCCCAAAGAUUAAAUCUAGUGGAGACUACUCUGAGAUACAUUAUAACCAAAAUUGGCAAAAGUCAAAGAUAUUGAGUUUUGAAAGCAGAAAAAAAAAGGGACUCAUCACGUAUAAGGGAACUAUUAUAAGACUAUAAGAGGAUUUCUCAGCAUAACCCUUACAAUUUCAGGAGAUAAUGGGAUGUUAUAAGUGAUGUACUAUAAGAAAAAUUCUGUGAUCCAAGAAUACUGUAGCUGGCAAAAUUAUCCUUCAAAAAUGAAAAAGAGGGCUAGGGAUACAGCUCAGUGGUAAAGCACUUGCCUAGCAUUAGCAAGGUUAUCAAUUUGGUUCCUAGCACAGAAAGAACAAUGAAAGAAAGAAAGGAAGGAAGGAAAAGAGAAAGAGAGAGAGAAAGUCAGUCUUUUCCAGACAAACAAAAGCUGAGGGAUAUUGACACCAUUAUACCUGCCUUAUCAGACAUGCUUAAGGAAGAUCUUCAAAUUGAAAUGAACAUGCUAAACAGCAAAAUGAAAACAUUUAAAAGAUAAAAGUAAAUAUAUAUAUACAUGUUAAUAUAACAUUGCAAAAAUGGUACAAAAAUUACUAUUAACCCUAAUAUUAAAAUUAGCAUAAAAAGUGUUAGUAGGUGAACAGAAGUAUAGAGCUUCUCUAUACAAAGUUAAAUUGUUAUCAAUUUGAAAUGAAAGGUUAUCAUUAUAAGAUGUUUUAUGCAAGCCUUGAGCUAACUAGCAAGAAAAAAUCUAUAGAAGAUACAUAAAGGUGGGAGGGGGAGGUGACAUGUGGAACAAAGCAAAUCACAUCAGAAAACCAUCAAGCAAAAAAGGAAAGUAGCAAGGAAUGAUGAGACAGACAAAAUAAUUGCAAGACAGAAAACUAACACAAUACAACAGUAAACUAUGACUUUGCAAAAAUUGCGUUAAAUGUAAAUGGAUUAAAUUCACCAAUCAAAAGGCAUGGAAUAGCUGAAUGGAUCAAAAAAAAAAAAAUAAGAUCCAGUGAUAUGUUCUUUACAAGGACUCUCUUUAAAAUUAAAGACACACAUUGGCUGUAAGUCAAGGAAUAUGAAGAUAUUUCAUGCCAAUGAUAACCAAAAGAAAGCAGCAUGGCUAUCAUUACAUAUGCCAACAAAAUAGACAUUAAAUCUAAAACUUCUCUAGAGAUAAAGAUCAUUUAUAACAAUAAAAUGGUAAAUUCAACCAGAAUAUAUAACAAUUUUAAAUACGUAUGUCAGAACACAUAUAUGUAAAGCAAAUAUCAACAAAUUGAUGGGAGAAUUCACAGUAAUACAAAAUUUGUAGUAGGAAAAUCUAUUACCUCAUUUCUUGAUUUAUUUUGUGCUGCUAUUACAUGAUACCAGAGUCUGGGAAUUUAAAAGAACAAAUAUUUAUUUCUUACAGUUCUGAAAGCGAGGAAGCCCAAGAUUGAGGGACUCACUGAUACCAAUGGCCUUCAUGCUGCAUCAUUCCAUUUUUGGAAGGUGGAAUGGCAAAAGAGGAUAAGAGCAAGACAGAGAGGGAAGGGGGUUGAAAUCAUCCUUUUAUUAGGAACCCACAGCCCAGUGACUAAUCUACUUCCAUAAUAACAGCAUUAAUUCAUUCCUGAGAACAGAGCCCUCAUGACCUACUCAACUCUUAAAGGCCCUACCUCUCAUCACUGCAGCACUAAGGAGAAAGUUACUAACACAUGAACUUAAGGCACCUUUAAACUAGAACUCCCCACUUACAAAAAUGGGUAGAACCAUCAGACAGAAAAUGAAUAAAGAAAAGAACUGGCUUGAAAAGACCAUAAACCAAGUAGACCUAACAGACACAUACAGAUCUUUCCACCCAAUGGCAUCCGAAUCACAUCCAUCCUCUUAAGCACAAAAUAAGUCAACAAAUUUAAGAAAAUCAAAAGGAGUUCAAAUAUCCUUUUAGUGAUAAUGGAACAAAACUAGAAAUCAAAAACAAGGAAAUAGGAAAAUUCACAAAUACAUGGGAACUAAACAGUAUGCUCUUGAACAACCAUUGGGUUAAAGAGGAAACCAAAAGGGAAAGUAAGAUGUAUCUUGAGGAAAACAAAAUGAAAUGAGCAGAGCAUUCCAAAACUUGCAGGACAAGGCACAGGGAGUAACAACAAGGAAGCUUAUGGUGAUAAAUGCUUGCAUUGGAAAAGAAGAAAUAUCCCAAAUAAACAGCCUAAUUUAUACCUUGCUGAGCUACAAAUCUAAGUCCAAAGUUAGCAGAGGAAGGAAAUAAUAAAGAUUAGAGGAGAAAUAAAUCAAAUACAGAUUAAAAAUGCAGAAAAAAAUCAACAAAACUAAAUGUUGGGUUUUCAGAAGAUAAACAAAAUUAACAAACCCUUAACUAGAUGAACUACAAAAGAGAGAGAAAGCCUUGAAUAAAUAAAAUCAGAAAUGAAAAAAGAGAUGGAUGCCUCAGAAAUAAAAAAUGACUAUAAGAGACAACUAUGAACACUUAAAUGGCAACAAACUGGAUAACUUAGAAAAGAUGAAUAAAUGCCUAGAAGCAUACAACCUACAAGACUGAACUGUGGAGAGAGAUGGAGAUUGAAUUAAUAAAUAAGAAUCAACAAAGAAAAUCCUAGGCUUCACUAGUGAAUUGUUCCAGGUAUUUAAGGAAUUAAUGUUAAUCCUUCUCACACUCUUACAAAAAACUUGAAGAGGAUGAUGCAUUUUCUAUUUCAUUUCAUGAAGCCAAAUUACCCUGAUGCCAAAGCCAGACAAAGAGAUACAAAAAAGAAAGCUACAAGCCAAUAUCUCUGAUGAAAAUCAGUGCAAAAAUCCUCAACAAAUACUAUCAAAUUGAAUUCAGCAGCCCAUUAAAAGGACCAUGCUUGCUGAAAAACCUGAAUCUUAGCUAUUUGGGACACUGAGGCGGGGAGAUCUCAAGUUAUGGUAGCUUCAACAACUUGGUGAGGUGCUGUCUCAAAAAUACACAAAUUAAAAGGGCUGGAGAUUUUAGCUCAGUAGUGGUGCACCUCUGGGUUCAAUCUCAAGUACUGAAAAAAAACAAAAACAAAAACUUUUUUUUAAAUAAAAAUAUCAUAUCCCAUGAUCAUAUGAAAUUAAUUCCUGAGAUACAAGAAUGACUCAACAUAGGCAAAUCAAUUAAUCUGAUAAAAUUUUGACAGAAUUAAAGAUAAAAUCAUAUAAGUAUCUCAGUGCAGAAAAACGAUAUGAUAAAAACCCUCAACAAACCAAAAAAAGAAAAAAUGCAUCUCAGCAUAAUAAAUUUUAUAUAUUAAGGCCCAGAUAUUUAUACUCUGCAGUGAAAAAUUGAAAGAUUUUCCUCUAAGGUCUGGAAUAAGACAAGGAUGCCUACUCUCAUCACUUCAAUGUAGUCCUUGAAGUCCUAGUCAGAGCCACAAGGCAGCAUAAGAAAUAAAAGUUCUCAAAAUUAGAAAGAAAGAAGUUAUCCCUUUUAUAGAUGACAUAAUAUUUUAUAUAGAAAAUCCUAAACACUCCAUUUUUUAAAAAUUGUUAGAAAUAAUAAUUGACAUGAAAAAGUUGGCUACAUUCCUAUAUAGUUUCCAAAAACUAUUGGGAAAGGAAAUUAGGAAAACAAUACCACUUACAUUAGGACCACAAUUAAUGAAGUACUUAAAAAUAAAUUUAACUAAGGAUACUAUGGGCUAGUAUGCAAAAACUACAAAGCAUCGGUGACAGAAAUUUAAGAAGACACAAAUAAAUAGACAUCCCAUAUUGGUGAAUUAAAAUACUUAAUAUUGUUAAAAUGCCACACUGUGUCCUAAAUGAUUAAUAAAUUCAAGGCAAUCUCCAUCAAAAUUUCAAUAGCAUUUUUUUUUUUACAAAAAUAGAGAAAACAAUUCUGAAAUUCAUAGGGAGCCACAAAAGAGCCCAAAUAGCCAAAUCGGUCUUGGGAAAGAACAACAAGGCUGGAGGCACAUACUUUCUGCUUUCAAAACAUAUCAGAAAGCUACAGAAAUAAAUCCACACAUAUAUGGUCAACUAAUUCCAAGAAUAAAUAAUGGAGACCGGAUACUCUUUUCAACAAACAAUGUUGUGAAAACUGGAUCUCCAUGAACAAAGUAAUGAAAUUGUAUCUUCUUUUUACACAACCCCAAAAUCAACUCAAAUUGGGAGUAGCCUAGAAUAAAAAGUAACAUCAAUUUCACUCUACUAGUUCUGGCAAUAACUUCAUGAAGAUGACACCAAAAGCACAGGCAACAAAAGUAAAGGCAGACAAGGAGGAUCGCAUACAACUAAAAAGCUUGCGCACAGCAAGGAAACAAUAAACAGAGGAAGGACAAGCUUUUGGACGGAGAAAAUAUUUGCAAACUAUACAUCUGAUAAGGGCAACAUCCAAAACACAUAAGAAACUUGUACAACUCAACAUCAAAAAACUGAAUAACCCAACUUUAAAAUGGUAUGAAGACUUGAAUAAUAGACAUUUCUCCAAUGAACACAUACAAAUGGCCACUAAGUACCUAUAGAAAGAUGCUCAGUGUCACUAGUCAUCAGAGAAAUGCAAAAUCAAAACCACAAUGAGAUACAACCUCACAACAGUCCAGAUGGCGAUUAUUUAAAUAAAGAAAACAAACAAACAAAACAAGAUUGUUGGCAAGGAGGUGGAGAAACUGGAACCCUUUCACACUCUAGAUGGGCAUGCGAAAGGGUAUAGCCUCUAUGGAAAAUAGUACAGGGGCUCCUCAAAAAUAAUUAAAAAUAAAACAACCAUAUGAUCCAGUGAUCCCACUUCUGGGUAUUAAUGUCAAAGAAUUGAAAUCAAGGUCUUGAAGAGAUAUUAGCAUUCCCAGGUUCAUCGCAGUACUAUUCUCCAUAGUAUGUAAAAACAACUUAAAUGUCCAUCAGCAAAUGAAUGGAUAAAGAAAAUGUGUUGUGUACAUACAGUGGAAUAUGAUUCCAUAUUAUAGAAGAAGGAAAUUCUUCAAUAUGCAACAAUAUGGUUGAACCUUACACAUAUUAUGCUAAGUGAAAUCAGCCAAGAACAGAAGAAAAAAUCCUGCAUUAAUCUACUUAUGUAAGAUGUCUAAAAUGGUCAAAUUCAUAAAGUCAAAAAGUGGAAUGGUCAUUGCUGAAGGCUAGGGGUAAUGGGAAAUUGGAAUUGCUAGUCAACAGACAAAAUGUGUCAGUCAAGCAAGAUGAAUAAGCUCUAAACAUGUGUUGUGCAACACCUAUAGUCAACAAUACUGUAUUAUACAUUUAAUUAUUCAUUGAGAGGGUAGAUUCUAUGUUGUGUUCCUACCUUGAUAAAAUAAUUAAAAAGAAGAAAAACAGAAAAGCAACAGCCAAUAGGUAAAAGGAAUGCCAAGAAAAUGGAAGCCAGGUGAAGAAUGCCUUAGAGUCAACAAAAUUAACCAUUUCAAAUGCUGCUGAUGGGACAAGAAGGCAAGGACAGAACUGAUCACUGGCACAGCAACAUGGCCAUCACUGGUUGACUCUAAUAAAGAGCAGUUUCAGUAAAUGGAGAAAGUAAAUGCCUGCAUGGGGUGACUUCAAGAGAAAAGGAGAAGGCAGAAAUUAGAAGAAAAAAUUUGGACAAAUUUUCCAAAGAAUUUUUCUGUAAACAUAUGGAGACAAAUGUGUAGUAGCUGGAGAGUAGAGGCAUCAAAAGAGUAUUUUUCCUCUUAAGUUAGAAGAAAUUAAAAAAUGGUAGGUAGAAGUGAAAGAUCUAGUAGAGAAGGGAAAUUUGAAGACACAGAAGAAAGAGACUCAGGGGUGGAUUCUUCCUAAGCAGAUAGAAGGAAGAGACUCCAGGAUCUAGGGCACAAGUGAGGGGUUGGGCUCAGUAAGGAUCACAAACAGCACACACACAGAAAUAAGACAAAGGCCACGUAGAUAGAUGGUAUAUGUAGGUGAACAGGUGUGGUGGCCAAAGCUUCAAGAAGUUCUUUUUUGUUCCUUUAGUUUUCUAGAAGAAAUAGCAAGCAAGAUCCUGAGCUGAAGAGAUGGACAGGAAAGAAGUGUAAGAAUCCUAACAAGUAUGAGAAAAGAAAAGUGGACUCCCUCAUCCAGAACAAGCUAGGCUAGCUCCUGGGCUCUAGCCUGUGCUAGAAUUCUCUUGAGAAUUCUGUUCUCAACUCAAGUGUCAUUGCCUUCCUUGAAUACAACAAAACCAAAUCCUAGGAAACACUUUCUACCACAUUGGUCUAUUCCUUCUUCUGAUGAUGAAAUUAACAUUUCUAUCCAGCUUGUUUGCUAUCAUGACCACUGGAGUUUAAGCUCCUUGAAGGCAAGGGCUGCCAAUUUUGUUCACUGGUGCAUCCCCAGUGCCUAGAAGAGUGUGCACAGGGUAGGUAUCGAUUCACCAACCUUUGGGCUAAAUGUUGAGGAAACUUAAUGUCCCCAGAGAAGGGCUGUCCACAUAAGAUAUUUGUUUCUCUAUACUGUGAUUCUAGAAGGAGAGAAUACACAUACAUAAAGGAUCUGAGGAGGAGAGAUGAGACAGUGAAUUGAGUCACAUUUUGGUAUUGGCUAGUAAAGUUGAAACUUGUUACUUCCAUGACCUUGCUGAGCCUAUCUAUAAGAACACUGAAACUAAUUAUAACCUGGUGUGGAGAACUGAUCUCCAAGUGUAAUGCUGAGACAACAAUCCAGUUUUCAAAAUCUACCAAACAACAAUAUUGUUCAUAGUGUCUCUACUACUACUACUACUACUAAUAAUAAUAAUACUUUUCUGUCUGUUAUAGAUUUACUUUUGUCUCCCUCGAUGUUGCUAAAUAUCAUCUAGAGAAAAUAAGGCAGCAAUUUUCUGACAUUCCGUAAGGAGCCCAAGUCUCAUUACACAGCACUGUAUUCAAUCCUCUCCAUCCACCUCUCCAUCCUAGAGCAGACAUGAGCUCUAACUACUCUGUCAAGGGAGGUGAAUGUCCUCCUGAUUUCUUCAAAAAAGAAACUUAAAAAAAAAAAAAAAGAGUGUGGGAGUGAGUCACCACAAGCUUAAUAAAUACAAACGUCAAUUACUUUAAAAAUGGUAAAUGAAGUUUACAUGAUUUUUUUAAAAGUUACUCUUCUUCAGAGGCACAUUAUUCUGAUUUAAAUGAUUGACACUAGCAAAGCAUUAAUUCACAAAAGCUGUCCUCAUCACACACUUCCUUAAAUGCAAGUGUAAGGAUCCUUAUUAUUUUUGUUUUAUUUCAGGGCAAAAUGCAGUGGAAGGAAUGACCACCUCAUGGCUCCUUAUGAAGCAUUUUCAAGGGAAGGAAGCUGAAGAAUUGGGAAGACAGUGUAUUUAAUGUAAGCCACGACUAACACACACUCUCCUCUUCCCCAUUUCUCAAGAUCUCUUUUACACAAAGUGGCAGAGUCGGCUCAGCUGGUCUUGAACUGUGCUUCCCCUUUUAUGGAAAAUAUCAACAGGGAUUUUUUUUCAUGGCUGGAGGUGCUUUCCUCAUCUAAAUAUUAAAUUCUGACAAGCCUUUCCAACUUAGUGGAACAUAAUCAUACUUGCUACUUGUUAAUUAGGAGCAGAGUGAUAACUAUUAAAAGUUGAAAGAGUUUCCUGGUGGUUAUAGCAAGUUUCGACAUGAUCCCAAGCUUUGUCAAUAACCACAAGGGAAAAAGAAAGCAAAAGGAAAAUGCCUCUCUAGAGCCCUUCAUUUCUGAGAGAAGAGUGGAUGUUAACUACUACUGUCUCGUUCUCACGUGACAUCUCAGCACCAAAGGAGGCCAGAGAGGAGACCCGCCAUGCUCAGAGAGUGGAGAACAGAACCCAGAGCGAGUCAGGAAAUCUGAGUUCUACAACCACCUCUCUUAGGGUCUAUAUGACCUUAAAAAUCUUUCCCUGCAUCCAUGGAUCUCAAUUUCUUCAGUGAGUUUGUAGGAAGGAAGUUUGGAGGCUGGGGAAGAAUGCCCCUAUUCUAAAAUGCUGUGUCCACCACACAAUUCAUACAUAGUCUUGGAGAACAUUUUGCAAAACAUUUCCAAAAACUAGACAUCAUAGCCUUGCCACUUUUUAUAGGCAGAUUCUCAGAAUUAUGAUAGCUGGCAUUGGUAUGCCAUUUUUCAAUUUCGGAAAAUUUGAGCUUUUACAUAUAUUAUUUCAAUUGCUCCUCCAAAUAGUCUUGUGAAAUGUGUAUCACUGUGUCCCCGAUGAGCUAGGAGAGAAAGAAUGAAGAAGAAAAGAGAUUAAGUGACUUGCCCCAGAGCAGAAGGAAGUACUAUAACACCCAAAAUAUCUGUUCCUCUUACUUCACUUAGAAUUGUAAUUAAUCAGUACAAGCCCCGCUAGUAUAUCUCAAACCAGUUACUAUACAGAAAAUAGGAACAAUGAAAAUGGGAAAAUAAAAAGCCUCCAAGAAAGUUACACAUGGUUCCCACAAGCUCAGAGAAUAUAUAACUAUCAUGUUGGGUCCACACCACCACCAUUUAAUUCACUUGUGUCUAAAAUAAAUUCAUCCACAGUGGCAUAUUUCCUAAAAUACAGCUCCUGGGAUCUUUGUAACAUGUUAUCCAAAUAAUGAGACAUAAAUACUCAAUUUAUAUACUACAUACCUUUUAACAAAAAUAAAAAUAUGCACAUCAUCCUACAGGAUGGAAUUAAACUUUAUAUACAUUACUCAAGAAAAAUAAAAAAGAAAACAAGAAGCAGAAUCUUAUGAGUGUCCAAGGAUAAAGGUCACAGGAGGUACUGUCACAAUCCAUGCUUCCAUUAGAAACCUUCUUCCUAACUAGUAGACCAACCAAAAGUGAAUUUAACUCAAAAGCAAAUCUGCUUUUUU